This 36-nucleotide transfer RNA is filed under the name Calypogeia muelleriana. RNAcentral describes it as "partial tRNA-His". Lineage: Eukaryota; Viridiplantae; Streptophyta; Jungermanniopsida; Jungermanniales; Calypogeiaceae. RNAcentral also lists the same sequence under 13 other names. The record is from RNAcentral.
UGGACGUAGCCAAGUGGAUUAAGGCAGUGGAUUUGU